RNAcentral lists this ribosomal RNA (433 nucleotides) under uncultured bacterium. RNAcentral describes it as "partial 16S ribosomal RNA". It matches the Rfam family "Bacterial small subunit ribosomal RNA", at positions 29 to 507 of the family's 1533-position model. The record is from RNAcentral.
AACGAACGCUGGCGGCAUGCCUAACACAUGCAAGUCGAACGAGACCUUCGGGUCUAGUGGCGCACGGGUGCGUAACGCGUGGGAACCUGCCCUUAGGUUCGGAAUAACUCCCCGAAAGGGGUGCUAAUACCGGAUAAUGUCUUCGGACCAAAGAUUUAUCGCCUUUGGAUGGGCCCGCGUUGGAUUAGCUAGUUGGUAGGGUAAAAGCCUACCAAGGCGACGAUCCAUAGCUGGUCUGAGAGGAUGAUCAGCCACACUGGGACUGAGACACGGCCCAGACUCCUACGGGAAGGAGGAGUUGGGAAUAUUUGAACAUGGGCGAAAUGCUGAACCAGCAAUGCCGCGUGAGUGAUGAAGGCCUUAGGGUUGUAAAGCUCUUUUACCCGGGAUGAUAAUGACAGUACCGGGAGAAUAAGCGCCGGCUAACUCCGUG